Molecule: unclassified non-coding RNA, 142 nt
Filed under: fungal sp.
Lineage: Eukaryota; Fungi
Description: partial internal transcribed spacer region
Rfam family: Eukaryotic small subunit ribosomal RNA (bases 1-46)
Source: RNAcentral
AAGUCGUAACAAGGUUUCCGUAGGUGAACCUGCGGAAGGAUCAUCACUGAAUGUGGUUUUUCUUUUGUGUGGAAAAAAACAAUGACAUUUUACAAACAAAACCAAUGAGAAACAACUUUUAACAAUGGAUCUCUUGGCUCUC